CAAAGGUUUCCAUGGAAACUUGUCAAGCGCUAUUGCUCGAAGAGGUACGUGGCGCUCAACAGUCGUCUGUUUAAGCUGAAAAUCAAACAUUGGCAAUCAGAAAUUGUGUCAUUCACGCUUACUUCACUACAAACCAAACGCUUGCCAAACUGCCGUUACGCAAGAGGUUUAGAUAUAAUUUAAGAUAACGUAUUAAAAUGCCGUUAGUGCUGACGUUGAAUGAAAUUAUAUUGCUUGUUAGCAAGAGCAGACACGUUGGGUAAUUGUCACCAGCUAUUACAACAAUAUAAGUUCAAAAUUUGUUUCAUGUAAAGGAUGCUAAUGCUUAAAUGAAGCAUUUGAAAGUCAGCGUGUGAUACCAGGUGCGUCUCAAUUUCGAAGGCUAACGUUAACGUUACGUACGCCGGAAUUUGAAUUUAUCGUCCGGUAUUCAGGUUUUAUUUUUAGAAAAGCAACCGUUACAUUUCAUGUUAAAGAACGAAAUUACAAUGAUUAACAUUUUAAGAGCAAUAAAUGUUAAUACAAAGAAGUGAGAUAACUUUGUUGACGUGUGCGGUCGACAAAAGUGACCUUCAGAUUUGCUCCAGACGCAGCCUUUCUGGGUUUAGGCAAAUCAGCUUUAUGAAGAGCAGACCACCCAGUUCGUUUACCACCUGCAUUGAGUACAAAUAUGGAUCAGAACUCUAGAGCUAAUCUGAUAUCAGCAGCUCCUGGUGAGCAAGCCAACACUGCAGUGUGGCGAGAAACCAAAACUCCAAUGAUGAUCCAAUGGAGAAAAAAACAGUUUCAACCAGGAGGGUCUGUUCUCCUCAGACACAUAAGCUGCACACAGAAAUUUCCUGAGCUGGAUGAUUAGUCAGACAGCAGGUUCUCACAGGAGCCAGUUCAGACGGCAGUUCUCCACUACCUCCCAAUUUUAAAUCAAAUUUGUUUUUGACAUCAAACAAAUACGGUUCUUUGAACAAAAGGUCUCAUUUGCGUCUAUUGAGACACACAAGAUGCUUUUUGGAACGUUCUCAAAUUAUGCUGGGAAAACAUGAAUUAUCAGGUUCAACUUGACUUGUCCAUGCCAGCUUCAGUGCAUGGAUACAUGCUUAAGUUUAAUUUAUAAAAGUACCUGAAGUCCACAUGAAAUAAAAAUUGUCCAUGUUAACUAUAGCUUUGUUAGUGCAUGUAACUAGUUUAGUGGCAAGAGCUUCAUCUGUAAAUGUCAAUCCACAAAGUUUUUUUAUGUCUUUAUAGACUUUAAUCAAAAUCUGAAAAUGGGUACUUGACAAAUGAAUCAUACACAUGUCCUAUGGUGUGACAUUUACAUGGAAUUUAGUGUAGCUUCAUUGUAAGUUUUUUCACAUUUAUUGCCCUCACACCAUGGGACAAAUUUGCAUAUUAGUCUGUCAACUACCCAAAUACCACUGUGAACUAGAUUUCUAUAUGAAAUGUCUACUUUUUAGUUCCAAUCAAUUUGCAGUGGGAAAAACAAGCCUGCCCCCCUGUGUUUUUCUCAUUCUAUAUUCAGUUUCAGCUGCUUUAAUUGAGAAAUAUAUUUUAUUUGAGAACAAUAUGGAUAGUGUAAUGUUUAAUUUGUUUCAUUAAACUGAAUAGCAAUACAUAUGGGAAACAUGGCUACCUGCUUUACUAAUAACCUACAGACAGGUACAAAAACUGAGGCAUAUUUUUGUAAGGUCACAAUACUUGAAGGUAAAGGCAUGAACCUGUAUUUGCAUAACAAGAUGUCCUUGGUGAUGUUGCAUAGCUGUAACAAUUGACCUCUAAACACCCUACACACAAUCUGUGUGGCCCUAUAAAUAAGGCAUAAGACUGAUUGGAAUGAAUAUAUACAUGUGGGUUGAAGAGUCACAGGGGUACCGCCGUGUGAAGUGCUGAGAGAGCCAUGAGGACAUGCGGCCAGCGCAAACUCCAUAUAGUGCAGAUGGAUAGAGGAGGAAUUCUGCUUCAGCUCUCGGAUGAUUUAUAGGCCAGGAUAGGAGGGUGUGCAUCUUAACAUCUGCAUGUGCGUGUUCGUCUUUAUACUUGUGUUGCUGUGGGAGAGUGUUAUGGAUUCUGACUUGAUUUCCAUGUGGUGUUGAUACGAAGAAUGUUGUUUUCCCCCCAAGCUCUCCUUAGGGACAGUGUCAGAAGGUGUAUGUUUGUUGAAGUAAAGGGACUUUAUUAUUUCUUUGUUUUUGUUUACAUAUUUGAUUUAUAUUCAGUAUUGUGAAUAGUGUUGGGUGUAACUAGUUACUAAGUAAUUAGUUACUUUAAUUUAUUUACUUUUCCCUUGGAAAAAGUAAAGUAAUGGAUUACUCAAAUUUUUCUGUAAUUUAAUUAGUUGCCUCUGAUGUAAAUAAACUAAAUGCUUUGUGUUAUGUAUGUGUGUGCAAUAGUGCAAUAGUGCAAAAGUCUAACUUUAAAAUCUACGCUUUUAUAUAUAAUUCUCACAUUGGUAAUACUUUGGUCAGUUAAUAAUACUACUUUAUGUAGUAAUUAUGUUAAUUAAAAGUGCCAUCUCAUGUCUAUCCUUGAAUCAUUUAACUAAUCAAGGUUGAUAUAGGAUAUAGAAAGCAAUUAGUAAUAAGUAAUUAAAGAGUAAGUAAAAUGAAAUCAUGAAAAUUACAUUUCAUGCAGUGGGUUAUGUUGCCGUGUUUGAAAGUAAGCAGUCUGCCAAGUUGUAAGUCCGAAGGUGAAUGAAUAACAAUGUUCAUGACGCGUGUGCAUCAUGUCUAGAACCUGUGUUCUAUGUUGUGAACCUAAGUGCAACUUAUUUAAACUACCAAACGAGGAACUUCUGAGGAAACAAUGGUUACAAUUAAUUUUUCAAAAGACACCAAAGGAGUAUAACCUCAGGGUUUUACUAAGCGCAAGUCACUUCACCAAAGAUUACUUCAAUAAUCUUGGCGCAUUCCCUGCAGGAUAUGUUAAAUGACUAUUCUUGAAAGAGGGGGAAAUACCAACUUUAUUUUUGUCUUAACUUCAAGAAAUAUUUGAGUACCUUAUGUCUGUGUUUAGCUAAUGCACAUAACGUUAACAUGUAACGUUAUUUCUGGGGUAUUACAGUUUUUUUUCUAGCUAUGAACCGUCUUAUUUAAGCGUGUAACAACUUCAAGGAAUGGGAAGAAGGAGGCGGGAACCGGCGAACAUUUAAACAACUUUUUAAUAAAAUAAACAAACCACAAAACGAAAGUAAAAUGAACAUUAUAAACAUAAACAUUAUAAACCAUAACGUAAAGUCCAGGCCUGGUCCUCUCACCUCGUACACUCCUGUCGCUCGUCCAUUUAUGCUUCCGAUCUCCUCCAUGAGAGAUCAUCAAGGCUCUCGUCCCGAUAUUACAACAUAAUAGUGUUUUUACACCUUCUUUGUACAUAAACUUGUUGUUGGACACUCCAUAAACCAAUGUAGGACCUUAAAAAUUAAAUGUUACUUACUCUCUACUUUUUGGAGAGAGUAAUUUGUACAGUAAUCUUAUUACACUAUUGAAUAUGUAAUUAGUAACUAGUAAAUAAUAACUUUUUCAGAGUAUCUUGCCCAACACUGAUUGCGAAUGGGUGAUGCAUAGAUGUGGGUUUGUGUAAUGAUGUGUUAUUGUUGAUUAUAUACCAGUCUGUUUGCGUCAUACAUGAAUUGAUGUUUUAGGUUAAAUGCGUGCUUGUUUACUGAAGACCAAAGAUGUUCAUUCUCAGCAUGCUUUUCCCCCAAAGGCACAGCGCUUUCAUAUCUGCUGGCUAAAUGGAAUCUCAGUUUUUAAUGGACUUCUUUUGUAUGCCAACAGGUCUGUUUUCACAUGAUGCAUUUGCUUUUCUGUUGGUGUUCCGAUAAAGUACACUCUAUCUGCUUUCCCAAGCAAUACCUCAAACAGGUUGUGUCAAGCUCAAUAUUCAAAGAGCCACAGUAGAUGCUGUUUCCUCAUUAUGCACCAACCCCUGAUUGACUGUGUGAGGUAAUUGAUUGUAGGCUGCUGUGUGUCCUCUUAUCUGGACUGCUUAAUCAGCAGGUGGUGAAAAACUUCUGGCAUUAAACUCUAAAUAUGCAACGUGUAACAUACUGAACAAGGACUUAUUGUUUUGGAAGAACUUGCUGAACAUAAAGUCUGGGUAAAGAGAGUUAUGAGAAUUCUUUCUAAACACAUUAUAGAUGUUAGUUAUGUUUUGCUGAAACACAUUACAAAGACUUGUGGAGUUAAACCGUUAAACAUUUUUCACCGAUUCUCUGUUUAGGAUUUUUUUGGGCAGGGCUAAAACGUUGGAUCAAUGACGCAGUUGAAGUUGAUUGUCCGAGCAUGCAUGCCCCCCCCCCCCCACUAGAGCGCCUAGCAUCAGGUGUCUGCUCAAUUGCGAGCUCAGGAUUGUAAGCUUUUCGCACACGCUUUCAGGCCCUCGCUCUGCCCAACCAAUCAAAAUCUCACGCCAAAUAACAAGCAAAUGGUAACACAGACGCGAAUGGAAGGAGGAUCACUGCGCGUUACUGCGAAGUGCUUCAGUGAACGAUGUUUAAUUAACACAUUUCGAGACGAGCAAGAGCAGAUAAUCCACCGGGCUGGUUCGCUAUCAGCAGUCCCAGCAUCUACCUUAUCAGCUCAAGAGAGAACCACUACAAAUAGACAAAGCUGUCUCUGUUCAUACUUGACUGCUUUUUUGAGGCUGCUAGCGUCUGUUUUAAAUUAUAAUCCUAUGGAGUAAACCGUGUUUUAGUCCUGAACGCUUUUUUAGAACGUCAGCGUCUUUUUCAGCAGCGCAGAGCGUCUUUUGAGAUUGAAACAUUUCAACUUUUCUGAAAAAACAUCCUGUCAAGCACAAGGCUAACCAAUGAUGGAGACCUGCUGUUCCAUAACAACAUGCGAGGAAUGUGAUAUGUGGCGAAGGCUCAAGCUCGAAAGAAAAAAUAAGAUGGCGGGCGAAACGCCCGUUGGAGCUUAAACAGGAAGGAGGAGAGUAAGCUUCAUACAGCUAUAAGCAAGGUUUAUCAUAUAUAUAUAUCUUAUAUAUCUGUGUUUUCUGAAGUCCACAGUCAAUGCAGCAAUCUACCAGGACAUUUAAGAGCACUUUAUGCUUCUUUCUGCUGACAAGCUUUAUGGAGAUGCUGAUUUCAUUUACUAGCAGGACUUGGCACCUGCCCACACUGGCAAAGUUACCAAAAGCUGGUUCAUUGAACAUGAUGGUACUGUGCUUGAUUUGCAAGCAAACCCGCCUGACCUGAACACCAUAGAGACUCUAUGGGGUACUGUCAAGAGGAAGAUGAGAGACACCAGACUCAACAAUGCAGAUGACCUGAAGGCCACUAUAUCAAAGCAACCUGGGCUUCCAUUACACCAUGGGAGUGUCACGGGCUGAUUGCCUCCAUGUCACGCCACAUUGAUGCAGUAAUUCAUGCAAAAGGAGGCCCAACCAAAUAUUGAGUGCUUAUAAAAGAACAUACUUUACAGAAGCCCGACAUUUCUGUUUAAAAUAUCCUUUUUUUUAAUUGAUCUUAUGCAAUAUUCAA
Triplophysa dalaica is the source of this 5476-nucleotide long non-coding RNA. RefSeq lists it as uncharacterized. NCBI's taxonomy places the organism in Eukaryota, Metazoa, Chordata, Actinopteri, Cypriniformes, Nemacheilidae. The record is from RefSeq and is a predicted model, not a curated record. The transcript is spliced from 3 exons.